This 305-nucleotide ribosomal RNA is filed under the name uncultured bacterium. Its description in RNAcentral is "bacterial SSU rRNA". It matches the Rfam family "Bacterial small subunit ribosomal RNA", at positions 333 to 634 of the family's 1533-position model. The record is from RNAcentral.
CGUUGCCUACGGGAGGCAACAGUGAGGAAUAUUGGUCAAUGGGCGAGAGCCUGAACCAGCCAAGUCGCGUGAAGGAUGACGGCUCUACGGGUUGUAAACUUCUUUUGUCAGGGAGCAAUUGGGUCCACGCGUGGGCUUAGCGAGAGUACCUGAAGAAAAAGCAUCGGCUAACUCCGUGCCAGCAGCCGCGGUAAUACGUAGGGAGCAAGCGUUAUCCGGAUUUAUUGGGUGUAAAGGGUGCGUAGACGGGAAAUUAAGUUAGUUGUGAAAUCCCUCGGCUUAACUGAGGAACUGCAACUAAAACU